AAAGCCUCUAAGCAUCAGGUAACAUCAAAUCGUACCCCAAACCGACACAGGUGGUCAGGUAGAGAAUACCAAGGCGCUUGAGAGAACUCGGGUGAAGGAACUAGGCAAAAUGGUGCCGUAACUUCGGGAGAAGGCACGCUGAUAUGUAGGUGAAGCGACUUGCUCGUGGAGCUGAAAUCAGUCGAAGAUACCAGCUGGCUGCAACUGUUUAUUAAAAACACAGCACUGUGCAAACACGAAAGUGGACGUAUACGGUGUGACGCCUGCCCGGUGCCGGAAGGUUAAUUGAUGGGGUCAGCGCAAGCGAAGCUCUUGAUCGAAGCCCCGGUAAACGGCGGCCGUAACUAUAACGGUCCUAAGGUAGCGAAAUUCCUUGUCGGGUAAGUUCCGACCUGCACGAAUGGCGUAAUGAUGGCCAGGCUGUCUCCACCCGAGACUCAGUGAAAUUGAACUCGCUGUGAAGAUGCAGUGUACCCGCGGCAAGACGGAAAGACCCCGUGAACCUUUACUAUAGCUUGACACUGAACACUGGUCCUUGAUGUGUAGGAUAGGUGGGAGGCUUUGAAGUGUGGACGCCAGUCUGCAUGGAGCCGUCCUUGAAAUACCACCCUUUAAUGGCUGGUGUUCUAACGUUGGCCCGUAAUCCGGGUUGCGGACAGUGUCUGGUGGGUAGUUUGACUGGGGCGGUCUCCUCCUAAAGAGUAACGGAGGAGCACGAAGGUUGGCUAAUCCUGGUCGGACAUCAGGAGGUUAGUGCAAUGGCAUAAGCCAGCUUGACUGCGAGCGUGACGGCGCGAGCAGGUGCGAAAGCAGGUCAUAGUGAUCCGGUGGUUCUGAAUGGAAGGGCCAUCGCUCAACGGAUAAAAGGUACUCCGGGGAUAACAGGCUGAUACCGCCCAAGAGUUCAUAUCGACGGCGGUGUUUGGCACCUCGAUGUCGGCUCAUCACAUCCUGGGGCUGAAGUAGGUCCCAAGGGUAUGGCUGUUCGCCAUUUAAAGUGGUACGCGAGCUGGGUUUAGAACGUCGUGAGACAGUUCGGUCCCUAUCUGCCGUGGGCGCUGGAGAACUGAGGGGGGCUGCUCCUAGUACGAGAGGACCGGAGUGGACGCAUCACUGGUGUUCGGGUUGUCAUGCCAAUGGCACUGCCCGGUAGCUAAAUGCGGAAGAGAUAAGUGCUGAAAGCAUCUAAGCACGAAACUUGCCCCGAGAUGAGUUCUCCCUGAGACUUAGAGUCUCCUGAAGGAACGUUGAAGACGACGACGUUGAUAGGCCGGGUGUGUAAGCGCAGCGAUGCGUUGAGCUAACCGGUACUAAUGAACCGUGAGGCUUAACCUU
This 1335-nucleotide ribosomal RNA is filed under the name Escherichia albertii. RNAcentral describes it as "partial 23S ribosomal RNA". It matches the Rfam family "Bacterial large subunit ribosomal RNA", at positions 1614 to 2925 of the family's 2925-position model. Lineage: Bacteria; Pseudomonadati; Pseudomonadota; Gammaproteobacteria; Enterobacterales; Enterobacteriaceae. The record is from RNAcentral.